RNAcentral lists this ribosomal RNA (491 nucleotides) under uncultured bacterium. RNAcentral describes it as "partial 16S ribosomal RNA". It matches the Rfam family "Bacterial small subunit ribosomal RNA", at positions 29 to 506 of the family's 1533-position model. The record is from RNAcentral.
AGUGAACGCUGGCGGUAGGCCUAACACAUGCAAGUCGAACGGCAGCACAGUAAGAGCUUGCUCUUACGGGUGGCGAGUGGCGGACGGGUGAGGAAUACAUCGGAAUCUACUUUUUCGUGGGGGAUAACGUAGGGAAACUUACGCUAAUACCGCAUACGACCUACGGGUGAAAGCAGGGGAUCUUCGGACCUUGCGCGAUUGAAUGAGCCGAUGUCGGAUUAGCUAGUUGGCGGGGUAAAGGCCCACCAAGGCGACGAUCCGUAGCUGGUCUGAGAGGAUAAUCAGCCACACUGGAACUGAGACACGGUCCAGACUCCUACGGGAGGCAGCAGUGGGGAAUAUUGGACAAUGGGCGCAAGCCUGAUCCAGCCAUACCGCGUGGGUGAAGAAGGCCUUCGGGUUGUAAAGCCCUUUUGUUGGGAAAGAAAAGCAGCAGGUUAAUACCCCGCUGUUCUGACGGUACCCAAAGAAUAAACACCGGCGAACUUCGU